UGGGGAAUAUUGCACAAUGGGCGCAAGCCUGAUGCAGCGACGCCGCGUGAGGGAUGACGGCCUUCGGGUUGUAAACCUCUUUCAGCAGGGACGAAGCGCAAGUGACGGUACCUGCAGAAGAAGCACCGGCCAACUACGUGCCAGCAGCCGCGGUAAUACGUAGGGUGCGAGCGUUGUCCGGAAUUACUGGGCGUAAAGAGCUCGUAGGCGGUUUGUCGCGUCGUCUGUGAAAUUCUGCAGCUUAACUGCAGGCGUGCAGGCGAUACGGGCAGACUUGAGUACUACAGGGGAGACUGGAAUUCCUGGUGUAGCGGUGAAAUGCGCAGAUAUCAGGAGGAACACCGGUGGCGAAGGCGGGUCUCUGGGUAGUAACUGACGCUGAGGAGCGAAAGCGUGGGUAGCGAACAGGAUUAGAUACCCUGGUAGUCCACGCCGUAAACGGUGGGUACUAGGUGUGGGUUCCAUUUCACGGGAUCCGUGCCGUAGCUAACGCAUUAAGUACCCCGCCUGGGGAGUACGGCCGCAAGGCUAAAACUCAAAGGAAUUGACGGGGUCAUAGCUGUUUCCU
Molecule: ribosomal RNA, 568 nt
Filed under: uncultured bacterium
Lineage: Bacteria
Description: partial 16S ribosomal RNA
Rfam family: Bacterial small subunit ribosomal RNA
Source: RNAcentral